Non-coding RNA from Rhodocollybia butyracea, 125 nucleotides. NCBI's taxonomy places the organism in Eukaryota, Fungi, Basidiomycota, Agaricomycetes, Agaricales, Omphalotaceae. The record is from the annotation of a GenBank genome assembly.
GGCCGACUAGCUCAGUUGGUUAGAGCGUCGUGCUAAUAUCGCUGGUUCUGAUCUUCCGGUGCAUCGUUGGAUCAGAACCGGUGCUUCCCACGCGAAGGUCUUGGGUUCGAUCCCCACGUUGGCCA